CAAAACAAUCAAACAAUCAAACAUCCAGACCCAGAUCCUGGAGAUCGCUCGGCACCAGACGGACACCAGCAGAUACAGGAAGCAGCGCCUUGCUCGGCGGCAUUUCCUGUGUCAGAGGGAAACCUUUUUAGGAUUUAACCUCAGCAGUGACAUAAUCUACAACAUCAAAUCCCUCGGCUCCAUCAGCAGCGAUCUGAUAGACUGUAAUCCUGAGUGAAAGUUGGACUUUAAUUCCUGUAAUUGUGCUGAAAGCUCCGGACAGACAGCGUCGGCCUUUUCCACCGAGAUCAAACUUAAGAACCUGAUAAUAUUUUUUACAUUUUGUCAGAAGAUUUACAAAACAGAAGUAUUACCAGAGCAAGUAGGACGAGCCUCUACAGUAAUGUGACGUUGACUCCUGAAGCUGAAGGCCUUUUGUCACAACUUUCCCCUGAGCUACGUUCAAAUGAGCAGAUUUAAUGGCUCCUGACCAUAUCCAGGUCCCACGGGACCUCUUCACAACGGGGACUCUCGGGGAGCCACAGGAAUCCUUUCAGGACCAUCAGGCCUCAAAACCAAACACACAGAAGCCCGCUGAAGGACUCUGGACCUCGUCACAGAACCAGGACCUGAGUCAAAGGUCUCUGCAGCAGCAACAACAACAACAACAACAACAACAACAACAACAACAACAACAACAACAACGACGGCUGCUGACACCAUGAGAUCAGAAACGGAUCAUUUAUCUCAAUAAAUAAAAAUAUUUUCAAAUUUUAAAACAUUUUCAUUCUGCUGCUUUUCCUCUGGUUUAGAAAUCUUCCACUUCCUCUGACUAAAAAUUCACAGUGUCACCAUCGAAUACCAAGUUCCUCCUCAACGGUCAGCUGUCCGUCCUUCCACUUCACUGUUGCUGGGAAACAGAGGUUAAUAUUUCUCAUCACGUCUAAGUGUUUUAUUCCUCACACACUCCACCUCUGAUGCAGGUUUCCAGAUUCAGCUUUAAAAUCUCUGGUUAUGAAUAAAGUUUUUGCCUUGAAAAACGUAUUUUUGUGUUUUAAUAAUUUCCUACUUUGCUUGUCGUGAAUAUUUAAUUCAUUUUAGAGUCAGAAAGAUAUCUGACAGGGAUUAUAUGUGUUUUAUUUUGAAGUUACAGGAAGUGUAAAGUUGUGUUUCUAUCAUACGGUAGUUACCAUCAUGUUUUUAUUAUUAAUUAUUCAUCAGUUUCGAGUUUUACUUUAAUUCAUUUAUUGUAUUUUUUGAUAAUAUUCUCUUUUGUUAGUCAUUAGUUUCUUUAUAUUAUUUGCUUAAUUAGCAUCGUUAGCCUGGUUAACUAGUAUGCAUGAGGUGAUUAGAGCCACAGUCCACGG
Long non-coding RNA from Seriola aureovittata, 1346 nucleotides. RefSeq lists it as uncharacterized. Lineage: Eukaryota; Metazoa; Chordata; Actinopteri; Carangiformes; Carangidae. The transcript has 3 exons. The record is from RefSeq and is a predicted model, not a curated record.